GUACGGGAGGCAGCAGUGGGGAAUAUUGGACAAUGGGCGCAAGCCUGAUCCAGCAAUGCCGCGUGUGUGAAGAAGGUCUUCGGAUUGUAAAGCACUUUCGACGGGGACGAUGAUGACGGUACCCGUAGAAGAAGCCCCGGCUAACUUCGUGCCAGCAGCCGCGGUAAUACGAAGGGGGCUAGCGUUGCUCGGAAUGACUGGGCGUAAAGGGCGCGUAGGCGGUUUGUACAGUCAGGUGUGAAAUUCCCGGGCUCAACCUGGGGGCGGCACUUGAUACGUAGGAACUUGAGUGAGGAAGAGGGUCGUGGAAUUCCCAGUGUAGAGGUGAAAUUCGUAGAUAUUGGGAAGAACACCGGUGGCGAAGGCGGCGACCUGGUCCUUUUACUGACGCUGAGGCGCGAAAGCGUGGGGAGCAAACAGGAUUAGAAACCCGAGUAGUCCG
RNAcentral lists this ribosomal RNA (442 nucleotides) under uncultured bacterium. RNAcentral's name for it is "bacterial SSU rRNA". It matches the Rfam family "Bacterial small subunit ribosomal RNA", at positions 339 to 797 of the family's 1533-position model. The record is from RNAcentral.